Molecule: unclassified non-coding RNA, 1782 nt
Filed under: Leishmania donovani
Lineage: Eukaryota; Euglenozoa; Kinetoplastea; Trypanosomatida; Trypanosomatidae
Description: gene:LdHU3.29.3200(CDS-product:VIT_family_putativ e)
Source: RNAcentral
GGUGCUGCACACCCACACAGGCGCCUGCAUCUUACCCCCAUUCACUGCCCAAACAUACACGCACAGAGAGCACGGCUGGUGAACGGUUCACACACUUCUCCGCUUCGCGACGCUGUUGUCUUGCCGACGGGUUCCUUUUCUUUCCUGCCGGGUUUUCGCCUUCUCGUGUGCCGGCCGCCCCCUCUCGCCAUCUUCUAUCUUUAUUGGCGUGUAGUGACGUGCAUUGUGAUCUUGUGUCUGACUUUCUCUUUCCACCAGCGUCGUGAUCGCGUCCUUUGAUUCGAAGCCUUCCCUGCCACGCACCCCGUCCCCAUUUCCUUUCCUCGGCGUGACUGGCUCUCUCCUCCGGCUGUUGCGUAGCCAUGGUAGACUGUGCUAGCGACCGACAGUACCAGGCGCGGUGCGCCUACGGCAACCCCGAGAAAUCGAUCGAGAUUCACGGCGCCAAGAUGGAGACAUUCAACGUGGAUAUCCGCAAGAACGGCGCCAUGCGCAAUCGAGCCAUGGUGCUCUCCGGCCUCGCGGGUCUGUGCACGGCAGCAGGGACCGUUGCCGUGGCUGUGGGCGCGCCACAGUUGCUGGGUCGUCUGCGCGGCGUGCGAGACGCGCCGUGCAUGAUUCUGUGGACAGUGGCUGGCGGCUUGUGCUUGGCGUACGUGUCCACUAGCUCCUUCUCCUUUGAGCGAGCCAUCUACGACCUAGAAUUUCGGCGUGAGAUGUGGGAAAUUGAGAAUCACCUGUCCGGCGAGGUGCAGGAGAUGCUGUCCAUCUACAAGAGUCAGGGGCUGACGGAGGAAGAGGCACUCAUUGUUACCCGUAUCUUUGCGCGACAGAAGACGGUGUUCGCCAACUUGAUGAUGGUCGAGGAGCUUGGCUACUCCCGACUAGAGCCGCCUACGACAAGCGAGGCGGUCACAAACGUCGGCGUACCCGCCGUAAUGGGCUUCGUGAUCGGCGUCGCGACACCGCUGCUGUGCUUGGCGGCUGCACUACGCGCAAGUUCCUGCGGCCAGGGCAGCAUGAGUGCUGGUGGCGGCGGCGUGGUCUGUGGCCCGUCUGCGGUAACAACGCAAGCAAAAUUGUUGGGUGCGGGCAUCUUUUGCAUGUGUACCGCAGUGCUGAGCUACGUGCAGACGGAAGUCUUUUUCGGCGCCUACGCACAUGCGCCAGUGCUACUUCGCACCACCGUGUCCAACGCCGCCGGCAUCGGUUCCGUGUUCGGCCUCAGCUAUGUAGCAGCGCGUUGGGCGUGAGAAAGAAACAGACAUGUGCUUCCCGUGCGAUGGCGCAACUCGCGACUUGGCAGAUAGAGAUGGUAGCAACGGAAGACGCAGUGAGCGACUGUGAAAGUGAUGUCCAACACGCGUUGAAACAACGGGCACGGACAAAACCAAUUACUGGACGCGAGGAAAGACGGCGACUGCGAUGGAGCCAGUGCGCUGUAUGGACUGUGCGGACUGCUUUGAUGUGCGCUACCGCUGUGACACAGCAGCGCGUGAAAAGAGGAUCAGAGUAGCGAGGGCGGGAGAUCGGUCUACAAAAAGCAAGUACGUGUGAAAAAAGGUACACAGCGCACCGUUUUAAGCGUGGCCGAGGGCAUACGACCCCGCCUUCCUUUCUUUUUCCCUCCUGAGGUAUCCUUGGGCGGGCGCGCGAUCCGCUAUGGUGCUUCUCCGUGCACAAGCCCCAAGAUACGGACUGCAUGCGCGCUGUAUGCUGCCGUUCUUUACUGAGUGGGGCGCUCUUUCUCUUUGUGUCUGUGUGUGCGUACGAGUGGGCAAG